RNAcentral lists this unclassified non-coding RNA (350 nucleotides) under Hevea brasiliensis (rubber tree). Lineage: Eukaryota; Viridiplantae; Streptophyta; Magnoliopsida; Malpighiales; Euphorbiaceae. The record is from RNAcentral.
GUACUUUAUGCAAUAUUGGUGAGCGAAGAGAAAUGUCCUUUAAUUCGGAUUUAUGUUUAAUUGGCAAAUGUUCUGCUGUCUAAUUUAAGGACACUGUUAAUUUAAAUUUUUCUGUAAGAUUUGACCAUGUCAUUCAGUUUAGUAUCCAUGAAUGAUAAUUUUGAUCGAGACCGUUGUUUCUAAAUAUAAGCAAGUUGCAAAGCGGAUAUUAAGUAAAUUUGGGCUGGUGCUUUCUUAAGUUACAAGUAUUUCAAACUUUUGAUAUUCUCGUAACCCAUAAGUGGUUUUUGUGAUUUCAAACUGGGGUCCUGAGGGCAAUUGAAAAUCUAUGCAUGGUUAUUGAGAAUUGA